GAUGAACGCUGGCGGCGUGCCUAAUACAUGCAAGUCGAGCGAACAGGCGAGGAGCUUGCUCCUCUGACGUUAGCGGCGGACGGGUGAGUAACACGUGUAUAACCUACCUAUCAGACUGGGAUAACUUCGGGAAACCGGAGCUAAUACCGGAUAAUAUCUUGAACCGCAUGGUUCAAUAGUGAAAUACGGUUUUGCUGUCACUUAUAGAUGGAUCCGCGCCGCAUUAGCUAGUUGGUAAGGUAACGGCUUACCAAGGCAACGAUGCGUAGCCGACCUGAGAGGGUGAUCGGCCACACUGGAACUGAGACACGGUCCAGACUCCUACGGGAGGCAGCAGUAGGGAAUCGUCCGCAAUGGGCGAAAGCCUGACGGAGCAACGCCGCGUGAGUGAUGAAGGUCUUCGGAUCGUAAAACUCUGUUAUUAGGGAAGAACAAAUGUGUAAGUAACUAUGCACGUCUUGACGGUACCUAAUCAGAAAGCCACGGCUAACUACGUG
RNAcentral lists this ribosomal RNA (497 nucleotides) under uncultured bacterium. RNAcentral describes it as "partial 16S ribosomal RNA". It matches the Rfam family "Bacterial small subunit ribosomal RNA", at positions 28 to 507 of the family's 1533-position model. The record is from RNAcentral.